Molecule: long non-coding RNA, 742 nt
Organism: Helianthus annuus (common sunflower)
Lineage: Eukaryota; Viridiplantae; Streptophyta; Magnoliopsida; Asterales; Asteraceae
Exons: 2
Source: RefSeq, a predicted model, not a curated record
GACGGUUCAAGCGGAGAGAGAGAGAGAGGGACCGAGGUGGUGGUGAGCGGCGACAACAUUCAACACGGGUCGGGCCUGCUCCGAUGUAGAUGAUGUCGCUGAUGAUGUUGACGACAAUCGCCAUCCAGCGACGACUCCGGCUGCUGAAAUCCAAGUCAGUUCGGUGACGAAGAUGAUGACCGAUAGUGAUGAUGGUGUGAACAUCAGUUGAUGAUGAUGUUCGAGUUUUCAAGUUUGGUUGGAAUCAAGUUCGGGUUCAGGCACAGUCAACUGACUCAACAGGUUCGGGUUUGCUCCGGUUUGAGGUGUAAGAACACAAGUGAGUUUUGGCUUCGGUUCAAAGUGGAUUAUGAUUCGGUUCGCGUUUUAUUUCAGAUUCGGUUCAAGUCAGCUAUCGGCCAACCUUAACUUCUGUUCAAGACUCGGUCACACCGAGUCGACUCGGUCAAACUCGAGUCAACUCGGGUAAACUCAGUCGGUUCCGGGUCAAAGCAGUCAAAGUCAGUCAGGCUACGGGUCAACAGGUCAACGGCUUGGUCAAAGUCAGAUUCGGGUUCUGUCAACAUUCAGUCAACGCCCGGUCAACUCACAAGACCCGGUAAAGUGAUAAGAGUAGCGGGUUAUUCUUCUUAAAAGUAUAUAGAUUUUUUUUAGACUACGCGAAACCGAGCUCGACCCGUUUCAACUAGAUAUUAGUUACGUUUUUUUUAUAAAGUUGAUAAAAUCUAUAUUUAGUUGAUUA